UACGUAGGGUGCAAGCGUUAAUCGGAAUUACCGGGCGUAAAGCGUACGCAGGCGGCUUUGCAAGACAGGUGUGAAAUCCCCGGGCCUAACCUGGGAACUGCAUUUGUGACUGCAUGGCUAGAGUUUGUCAGAGGGGGGUGGAAUUCCACGUGUAGCAGUGAAAUGCGUAGAUAUGUGGAGGAACACCGAUGGCGAAGGCAGCCCCCUGGGAUGUGACUGACGCUCAUGUACGAAAGCGUGGGGAGCAAACAGG
Molecule: ribosomal RNA, 253 nt
Filed under: uncultured bacterium
Lineage: Bacteria
Description: partial 16S ribosomal RNA
Rfam family: Bacterial small subunit ribosomal RNA
Source: RNAcentral